RNAcentral lists this ribosomal RNA (389 nucleotides) under uncultured bacterium. RNAcentral describes it as "bacterial SSU rRNA". It matches the Rfam family "Bacterial small subunit ribosomal RNA", at positions 28 to 419 of the family's 1533-position model. The record is from RNAcentral.
GACGAACGCUGGCGGCGUGCUUAACACAUGCAAGUCGAGCGGUAAGGCCCUUUCGGGGGUACACGAGCGGCGAACGGGUGAGUAACACGUGGGUGACCUGCCCUUAGCUCUGGGAUAAGCCUGGGAAACUGGGUCUAAUACCGGAUAUGACUCCAUGACGCAUGUUGUGGGGUGGAAAGCCUUGUGCGGCUAGGGAUGGGCCCGCGGCCUAUCAGCUUGUUGGUGGGGUGAUGGCCACCAAGGCGACGACGGGUAGCCGGCCUGAGAGGGCGACCGGCCACACUGGGACUGAGACACGGCCCAGACUCCUACGGGAGGCAGCAGUGGGGAAUCUUGCGCAAUGGGCGAAAGCCUGACGCAGCGACGCCGCGUGAGGGAUGACGGCCUGU